RNAcentral lists this ribosomal RNA (243 nucleotides) under uncultured bacterium. RNAcentral's name for it is "partial 16S ribosomal RNA". It matches the Rfam family "Bacterial small subunit ribosomal RNA", at positions 793 to 1037 of the family's 1533-position model. The record is from RNAcentral.
GUCCACGCCGUAAACGAUGAGAACUAGUUGUUGGGAGGAUUUUGCCUCUCAGUGACGCAGCUAACGCGUUAAGUUCUCCGCCUGGGGAGUACGGCCGCAAGGCUAAAACUCAAAGGAAUUGACGGGGACCCGCACAAGCGGUGGAGCAUGUGGUUUAAUUCGAUGCAACGCGAAGAACCUUACCUGCCCUUGACAUUGACAGAACCCUCUAGAGAUAGAGGGGUGCUUCGGCCUGGAAAACAG